This 107-nucleotide non-coding RNA is filed under the name Sulfobacillus acidophilus. RNAcentral describes it as "Glycine sequence". It matches the Rfam family "Glycine riboswitch aptamer". Rfam says of the family: This family represents the bacterial glycine riboswitch. Glycine riboswitches usually consist of two metabolite-binding aptamers domains with similar structures in tandem. The record is from RNAcentral. Lineage: Bacteria; Bacillati; Bacillota; Clostridia; Eubacteriales; Clostridiales Family XVII. Incertae Sedis. RNAcentral also lists the same sequence under 1 other name.
AUGAGUGAAGUCGGAGACCGGUCCCCCGGGGACAGGCCGAAGGAGCAACUGCCGCCUGCUGACGCGCGGCCAGGAAUCUCUCAGGCUCACAGGACGGCUUUAGGACG